Molecule: non-coding RNA, 24 nt
Filed under: Arabidopsis thaliana (thale cress)
Lineage: Eukaryota; Viridiplantae; Streptophyta; Magnoliopsida; Brassicales; Brassicaceae
Source: RNAcentral
UAUGCGCAGAUGUCUGGUUGAGUG